This is a long non-coding RNA of Capsicum annuum, 940 nucleotides long. RefSeq lists it as uncharacterized. Lineage: Eukaryota; Viridiplantae; Streptophyta; Magnoliopsida; Solanales; Solanaceae. The transcript has 2 exons. The record is from RefSeq and is a predicted model, not a curated record.
GGAGGCGAGGAAAAUGUAUCGCGUGGCAUUUAAAUAGUAAAAUGCAUUAUUUGUGAUUAGUGGAUUCCUAAAUCUUCAUCAAGAUAAUAUUAAUUCUCUUAUCGUUCUCUAGCAAGCUAUACCUAGAUCUAUAUAUGGUAUAAUUAAUAACAAUAACAAUGUCCUUUCUUAUCUAUUUUCCAUCCUAUAUAUGCGGAAGGUAUAUUAUUAAUUAAAGUAAUAAAUGUCCUUUGAGAUGUUUUAACAGCUUAUUGUGAUUUGUUCGUAGGAACCCGUGAACCAUAUACAGUACCUCCAGAUUCCUUUUGCAUGGAUAUAAAAGGAUCGAGGCGGUAGCAACGACAUGAUUCAUUAUCCAGAGCAACAAAUGAUAAUGGAGAAGCAGACAUGGCGUGAUAUUGGUUCGGCUCACUACUCUCUGAUUCAUCAGAUUAGAUAUGAGCCGAACCAAUAUCACUCUUGUAUUCUUCUUCAUGCGUACCGCCUUUUUGGUUUUAUUCUUUUGAUUUAGCUUUCUCUUUCUUAUUUGUAUUACUAUAUAUAUAUAUAUAUAUUUGGCUCUAUUUGUUAACAGAGUUUACUAGAGAUCCAACAAAUGGUACUGAGUUUGGUGGUCAUCAGAAAUGGUAAACAUCACAGCGUGGUUUCUUCGAAGUCAAUAUUGUAGUAUAUAUACUAGCGAAUUAACUGGAGAAACCUGGCAGCUGCUUGAAAGGAAAAAAAAUGGAUUAUCGAAAGAAUGAGGAAGAAAGAGAAGGAAAAAAUGUGUUUGGCCUAUUCUGUUUUUUUAAUUAAGUGUUGAUAAUUUUAUUUUUUUUGUGUUAAUGAUGUCAUUGAUUAAUGAAAGGAAUAUUAUUUGGUGUUCAUGGUGUGUAUUGUUGUUGUAGCCUUGUAGGUAUGUUAAUGGAGUGGGUAUUUUGUUAAUGGAGUAAAAUUUUGU